RNAcentral lists this ribosomal RNA (402 nucleotides) under uncultured Gammaproteobacteria bacterium. Its description in RNAcentral is "SSU rRNA". It matches the Rfam family "Bacterial small subunit ribosomal RNA", at positions 242 to 636 of the family's 1533-position model. Lineage: Bacteria; Pseudomonadati; Pseudomonadota; Gammaproteobacteria. The record is from RNAcentral.
CAGCUAGUUGGUGAGGUAAUGGCUCACCAAGGCGACGAUCCGUAACUGGUCUGAGAGGAUGAUCAGUCACACUGGAACUGAGACACGGUCCAGACUCCUACGGGAGGCAGCAGUGGGGAAUAUUGGACAAUGGGCGAAAGCCUGAUCCAGCCAUGCCGCGUGUGUGAAGAAGGUCUUCGGAUUGUAAAGCACUUUAAGUUGGGAGGAAGGGCAUUAACCUAAUACGUUGGUGUCUUGACGUUACCGACAGAAUAAGCACCGGCUAACUCUGUGCCAGCAGCCGCGGUAAUACAGAGGGUGCAAGCGUUAAUCGGAAUUACUGGGCGUAAAGCGCGCGUAGGUGGUUCGUUAAGUUGGAUGUGAAAUCCCCGGGCUCAACCUGGGAACUGCAUUCAAAACUGA